Molecule: long non-coding RNA, 476 nt
Filed under: Triticum aestivum (bread wheat)
Lineage: Eukaryota; Viridiplantae; Streptophyta; Magnoliopsida; Poales; Poaceae
Description: long non-coding RNA (TAES_LNC013830)
Source: RNAcentral
UCACUGUUGUCAUACAACAGAACACAACACAAGGAUGUGGAUGAAGAGGUUAACAAGAAGAAUCUAUUAUAUCAUUUGGGUUGGGAGUAUCUCAUCUUGUGCUGUGGUGAGAGGGGCAUAAAUACAGCGAAAGAACUUUUACACUGGGUUGGGUCCCUUUCCCUGCUGCUGCUACUACUAACAACUAUUACUAACCCAUGGUAAACACUUUCACCAAUCAAUAACACGACGCACGCACGCACGCGCCGCCGAUCGCCUGCGCCCAGCACAGCGGCGGCUGAUAUAUAUGUAUGUAAUGUAAAUCCUGUAAGAUGGUACACAGGAAGGCUACAUGGGGAGACACAGAAAAGCUAGGAAAACAAACAGUAAGAUGAAGAAGAAGAAGGGGUCUUGCUUCUUUCUUUUCCUCCCCGGUUUCGCGACGGAGCCUCCCGCGCCAAAAACUUCUGACUGUUGUUGUAUAAUUUACAGCACCG